RNAcentral lists this ribosomal RNA (460 nucleotides) under uncultured bacterium. RNAcentral's name for it is "partial 16S ribosomal RNA". It matches the Rfam family "Bacterial small subunit ribosomal RNA", at positions 338 to 795 of the family's 1533-position model. The record is from RNAcentral.
CCUACGGGUGGCAGCAGUGAGGAAUAUUGGUCAAUGGACGAGAGUCUGAACCAGCCAAGUAGCGUGAAGGAUGACUGCCCUAUGGGUUGUAAACUUCUUUUAUAUGGGAAUAAAAUGUUCCACGUGUGGGAUUUUGUAUGUACCAUAUGAAUAAGGAUCGGCUAACUCCGUUCCAGCAGCCGCGGUAAUACGGAGGAUCCGAGCGUUAGCUGGAUUUAUUGGGUUUAAAGGGAGCGUAGGUGGAUUGUUAAGUCGGUUGUGAAAGUUUGCGGCUCAACCGUAAAAGUGCAGUUGAAACUGGCAGUCUGGAGUACAGUAGAGGUGAGCGGAAUUCGUGGUGUAGCGGUGAAAUGCUUAGAUAUCACGAAGAACUCCGAUUGCGAAGGCAGCUCACUGGACUGCAACUGACACUGAGGCUCGAAAGUGUGGGUAUCAAACAGGAUUAGAUACCCGAGUAGUC